This 253-nucleotide ribosomal RNA is filed under the name uncultured bacterium. Its description in RNAcentral is "partial 16S ribosomal RNA". It matches the Rfam family "Bacterial small subunit ribosomal RNA", at positions 524 to 776 of the family's 1533-position model. The record is from RNAcentral.
UACGAAGGGGGCUAGCGUUGUUCGGAAUUACUGGGCGUAAAGCGCACGUAGGCGGAUCGAUCAGUCAGGGGUGAAAUCCCAGGGCUCAACCCUGGAACUGCCUUUGAUACUGUCGAUCUGGAUUAUGGAAGAGGUGAGUGGAAUUCCGAGUGUAGAGGUGAAAUUCGUAGAUAUUCGGAGGAACACCAGUGGCGAAGGCGGCUCACUGGUCCAUUACUGACGCUGAGGUGCGAAAGCGUGGGGAGCAAACAGG